This is a long non-coding RNA of Echinops telfairi (small Madagascar hedgehog), 443 nucleotides long. RefSeq lists it as uncharacterized. The transcript is spliced from 3 exons. The record is from RefSeq and is a predicted model, not a curated record. NCBI's taxonomy places the organism in Eukaryota, Metazoa, Chordata, Mammalia, Afrosoricida, Tenrecidae.
UGUCUCUCAGGGACAACCCUGUUGUAGGCGCCCGUGACUGAGCCCCCAUCUCCAUCCUGUACUCCUACAAGCCUGCCCUACAUGCAAUACCAAGGGGACAUUUCCAAAACAAGAAUGUGGCCAGCAGAGGGUCAGAUACAGAGCAGAUUCCGAACAUGUUUAUUGAAUGAACGAAUGAAGGUCCCGUGUGCAAUGUUUGAGGGUGCCUUGAAGCUGCAAGUCCAGUUUCAGACAUGGCAACCGGAACGUGGAGGAGAGAGAACGAUAGGCUUUGGAGCCAGAAGACCUAAAAUUGAACGCAACGUUGUGCCGCUUUGGACAUCACCUCUGCAAGCCUCUGUUUCUUCAUCUAUACAAGACAGCCCUGUGGAAAUGACACAUGGAGAGAGGCUGAUGGAGCCGCAGAAGCCAUGUGGAGACCUGUCAGCACUGGAUGCACAAGA